Unclassified non-coding RNA from Cricetulus griseus (Chinese hamster), 264 nucleotides. Its record names the gene 7SK. It matches the Rfam family "7SK RNA". Rfam says of the family: 7SK was discovered as an abundant small nuclear RNA in the mid-70s but a possible function has only recently been suggested. Two independent studies have found that 7SK RNA binds the CDK9/cyclin T complex (known as elongation factor P-TEFb). Lineage: Eukaryota; Metazoa; Chordata; Mammalia; Rodentia; Cricetidae. The record is from Ensembl.
GGGCACUAGUGUGAUCUGGCUGUGACAUCUACCACUCUACUGACCCCAAGGGUUGAUUUGUCUAAUGUGAUUGGGUAGCAACCUAUCCCCUUCAUCUCUUAAGAGUCCAUGUGGAUCCUUCUAGAAGCUUCUUUCUCAGUAUACAUGGAGCAGUGAUCCUCCACCUAUGGGUUGAGUCUGAUUCAGGAGGAGUUGAUUAACCCUUUCACUGCCUCACAUUUUAGAUACUCUACACAGCAGAUUUUUAUAAUUUGGUUCAUAAUC